GCUGGGUGCGGUGGCUCAUGCCUGUAAUCCAAGCAGCUCAGGAGGCUGAGGCAGGAGGAUCACAUGUCAAGGCCAGACUCAGCAAUUUAGUGAGACCUGUCUCAA
This 105-nucleotide small RNA is filed under the name Marmota monax (woodchuck). The record is from RNAcentral. Lineage: Eukaryota; Metazoa; Chordata; Mammalia; Rodentia; Sciuridae.